Elaeis guineensis (African oil palm) is the source of this 2501-nucleotide non-coding RNA. NCBI's taxonomy places the organism in Eukaryota, Viridiplantae, Streptophyta, Magnoliopsida, Arecales, Arecaceae. The record is from RefSeq and is a predicted model, not a curated record.
CCACCAUCUAUUAGCAUAUAAUACAAACCUAAUUGAUGUCCAACAUCUAACUCGCACGUGUUUCCACUUCCUUUCUGGUCCCCUUGCUCGCCUUAAGGACUAAGCAAUGCUUCUCUCUCUCUCUCUCGCCCGCUACCAUACCCCACGCUCAAAGCCUCUACUUCCAGCUUAAUAUAUAAAUUGGUGCUUGGAGGGACAAACCAUCGAUAUGCGGCUUGAAAGAAAGAAGAGACUACUGGUGCCUCCAUUAAUUCCGGUGCUUUAUUCCUUUUGUCGUCAUUACUUUGGGAUCAAUCAAUCAAUCCUGUGGAACUCUUGUCGUACCAAAAUCAGCGGCGAAGACAGUAGUGGAGAGCUAAUAACCAUCGUUCCACGUCUGAUCUGCCCACCAGGCUCCAUCCCGCUCCGACAUGCCCUCUUCUUCUCCUCGCCCACUCGUCCGUGCUGUUCCCCCUUUGCAUUCCCCAGCCGCAUCACAAGCUCUCCGGCCUCUCAAUAGACUCCUCCCCCUCCUCCUCUUCCCAAAACGCUAGUGCGAUUCUCUUCACAGUUUUCUUUGUUUCUUUCUUUCUUUCUUCUACCACCAAUGGCAACCAUGGACCUCAGCUCUAAGCUGGUCGCUGGCGAUAGCCUCGACUGGUCGCAGGAUGGAGGUUUGGAGAUGCGGAAGCCAGGAAGUGAAGGUAAAGCCCUGGAGCAGCAGCAGCAGUGGCAAAAGGCGGCGCCGUUGAGGUGCCCGAGGUGCGAGUCCGCCAACACCAAGUUCUGCUACUACAACAACUACAGCAAGUCGCAGCCGCGGCACUUCUGCCGGGCCUGCCGCAGGCACUGGACCGAGGGCGGCACCCUUCGCAACGUCCCCGUCGGCGGCGGCCGCAAGAACAAGCGUGUCAAGACCGCGCACGACGCGUCCCCCUCGAUGGAUAACAACGGUUUGGCUCACGGCCAGCAACGGAAGCAAAUGGCACCGUUUGAUGAUGGGGACGGCCAAGGCGGCAUCUUUCCCGGGAUUCUUCGCCCGGUGCUGCUCCACCCGCCACCGCCACUGCCGCUGGACUAUGGCAUGGAUGGCGGCGGCGGCUUUGCCGGGCCGGUGCUGUCGUCUAUACCGCCGUUCCUGCCGGAAGCCGCCACGGGAGAAGCGGACUUUUUGAGCUCUUCUGCCAACGCCACCAAUCCUUUAUCUUCCAUCUCUUCUUCUUCCUGCUCGUCCCCCUACGACUACACGAGAUUGGAUCCCAUUGUUGGUGAAGAUGGCUUCGCCGCAUGGCAGGCUCCAACGAGCCAUUUGAGUUGUUGGGACGACAUAACGGACCUUGUCAACGCCGAGGAUUCUUUUCUGAGUACGUACCCAACCAUGAAGGGAGAGGUAUGAACGAGGAGCAUGUCAGUGUUAUCAAAUUAACUCGUAGACCUGUCAAUUUACUACUGGGCUUCUCGAGAUUGCUGGUCAGGAAACAAGGGUAAAGAGAGAAGGGAGAGAAAGGGAAAAGAACAUGGUAUUCUCCUUCUGCUCCGAAUUGUCUUUGAAUUUUUAUACAAAGCCUGACAAAUAUGAAUCAACGUGCGGUUCUUGGGCUGGACUCCAGCUCUCACAAAUACGUUGAGCAAAUGGAGCAACUAAAUAAACCUCACGGAAUAUUACAAUCCUCAAACCAUAUAUCCAUCUAUACACAAAACUACUGCAGCUGUCGAAUUAACUUUGCAACCACAGCACAGGUCUCUGAUAUCAUUGCAAGUGACAAUGACCAUUCCCCAGGCUGACCUGCUCGGCAUCCGCAUAACCUCAUUGAAAAAUUCGCCGUUGCUUUGAGGGCUAUUGUUGGUCAGCUUCUCUUCAGGCCAAGUUGCAGAAGCCCUAUCACUAAAGUUGUUACUGUUCGCAUCAAGGGUGAUACUGUUCAGGGAGCUACCAUUGCACUCAUACACAGGCAGGAAUGGGCUCCCGUAUUCAUUGGUCCCAGCUAGCACCCCUGGGCCAGCCUUCGACACUCCAUCCGGACCAUUUUGGUUGUGGCUAUUAACUCGAGACAGCCGUCCUGUGCUGGUGCCUGGCCAUGUCACCGCCACCGUCACAUCCUGACAGUUGAAGUGUUCAUAUGAUUGUGUGACACCAACAACACCUUUGCUUCUACUUGGCUGGGUAUCAGCAUCAUAUCUCCAAACAUAAACGUGGGAGUCCUCGCUAGCACAGACCACAUACUUCCCAUUUGCAGCUAAGGAGGCUGAGAUCUGGCUACUUGUGUUGCGGAAGCCUGAAAGAGAAGCACCAAUAUCACAUCAAACCAGUUUAUCAUGCAAUAAUAUCAGCCUAUGUAGAAAUCAGUUUAUCCAGUGACCCCAGAAAUUGAGCUGACAUACCUGGCUUGCAAAAACAAAUUCACACACAAUAAUUAACUAUCAAGAUGAGCAAAGUCACAAAAUCAAAAGAUUCAAGUUCAAUUUAAUGGAUGUACAAACUAAAAAUAUCAAUGCCGUUGAUGGUGGCAUAAUUCCUAAAA